Molecule: unclassified non-coding RNA, 1525 nt
Filed under: Homalodisca vitripennis (glassy-winged sharpshooter)
Lineage: Eukaryota; Metazoa; Arthropoda; Insecta; Hemiptera; Cicadellidae
Description: h(+)/Cl(-) exchange transporter 7-like, transcript variant X1
Source: RNAcentral
UUUUAUACACCAAUAAUGAUAAUUUCAGGGGGAGUGUUGCUCAGUCUGGAGGAAGGCACGAGCUUCUGGAGUCUUUCACUCAUCUGGAAGAUCUUCCUUUCCUCAAUGGUGGCAACUUUCACCCUCAAUUUGUCACUCAGCGCUUUUGAAGGACAUCCAGGCCAACUCACCCACCCUGGUCUGCUGUUUUUCGGAAAACUGAAUGAUACGAUCACCAACUAUGAGGUAUUUGAGUUGCCAAUCUUCAUCGGAAUGGGAGCAAUUGGAGGUGUCCUGGGAGCUGUAUUUGUAGCCAUCAACAUGAGGAUUGCCACCUUCCGGAUGAAAUAUGUGAAGAAGCAGUGGAUCAAGCUGUGUGAAGCUCUGUUGGUGGCAUUCAUGACAGCUACAGCUGGGGCAACCUCUAUCUACUUCCUUGAUGACUAUUGCCAUGGCCACACGGAGGACACCAUCAAGUUUGCAGUCAAGGUUUUCUGCCCCGAUAACCACUACAAUGAGUUGAGUUCGUUUUGGUUCCAGAGAGCAGAAGAUACGCUUAGAUCAUUGUUUCACGACCCUAAAGGUUCAUACAAUGUGGUUCCACUGAUUGUGUUCUUCGUGUUGUACUUCAUGAUGUCGGUGGUGACGACAGGACUGAGUGUGUCUGCUGGCGUGUUCGUGCCUGCCUUACUGUCUGGAGCUGCGUGGGGACGGCUCAUAGGCAUCGGCAUCCAAAACUGUUUCCCUGACUCGGCCUGGGCAGAGCCGGCGAAGUAUGCAGUGAUUGGCGCAGCUGCACAUCUCGGUGGUAUCUCGCGCAUCUCCAUCAGCCUGACAGUGAUGAUGAUCGAGGCUACGGGGAACAUCACAUUUGGCCUUCCACUGAUGCUGACCCUCAUCACAACCAAGUGGGUCGGUGACCUGUUCACAGAGGGAGUGUACGAGAUGCAGAUCUACCUAUUGGGGGUACCUCUGCUACCGUCGGCGCCACCGCCCCUCUCAGCUGACAUCAAGGCAACAGAAGUGAUGAGUGCGCCAGCUGUGGUAUUCCCUGCCAAGGUGCGAGUGGGUCGGCUUAUCGACAUACUGGAGAAUGUGCCUCACAAUGGGUUUCCCAUUGUUGAUUCCGCACACACAUCUAGUCAGGGUGUGCUUAAAUCAGUUGGGCGACUGAAGGGCCUGAUACUGCGGUCACAGCUGAUAGUUUUACUACGCAACAAGUGUUUCAACGAGACACCCCCAACGAGCAGCGACGAGUUGAGACGUAAACUGCGUAUGUUCCGUGACGCCUAUGCCAACAAUCAGCAUGUAGAGGUUCUGGACUCGACUGUACUUGGUCUGUCCGCAUGUUAACAGUGUUACAAAUUUGUAACUGAAGUGUAACAGUGUUGGUGUGUUGCAAGCUGCAUGGAGGCUGGAUUGACAAUGUACGAAUAACAGAAUCUGAGUAUGAUUUGAUGUUGGACCUCAGGCCAUAUAUGAACCCCUCACCGUACACUGUCAAAUAUAAUGCCUCUUUACCAAGAAUUUUCCGGUUGUUUCGUGG